ACCUGGGUGGCUCAGUCGGUUAAGCAUCUGACUUCAGCUCAGGUCACGAUCUUGCAGUCCGUGGGUUCGAGCCCCGCAUCGGGCU
Molecule: transfer RNA, 85 nt
Filed under: Felis catus (domestic cat)
Lineage: Eukaryota; Metazoa; Chordata; Mammalia; Carnivora; Felidae
Rfam family: tRNA
About the family: Transfer RNA (tRNA) molecules are approximately 80 nucleotides in length. Their secondary structure includes four short double-helical elements and three loops (D, anti-codon, and T loops).
Source: Rfam by way of RNAcentral